GCUGGGCCUGUGGUAGGUCUGAGCUACUUGGGAAGCUGAAGUGGGAGGAUCACUUGGGCUCAAGAGUUCUGGGCUGUAGUGUGCUAUGCCAAUUAAGUUUGGCAUCAGUAUGGUGGCCUCCUAGAAAUGGGGGACUAGCAGAUAGCCUAAGUAGGGGUGAACUGGCCCAGGUUAGAAAAGGAGCAAGUCAAAGUCCCUUGCUGAUUAGUAGUAGGAUCAUACCUGUGAAUAGCCACUGCAUUCCAGCUAAGGAAACAUUAGGAAGACCUUGUCUCU
This 276-nucleotide signal recognition particle RNA is filed under the name Microcebus murinus (gray mouse lemur). RNAcentral describes it as "Metazoan signal recognition particle RNA (ENSMICG00000034808.2)". It matches the Rfam family "Metazoan signal recognition particle RNA". Rfam says of the family: The signal recognition particle (SRP) is a universally conserved ribonucleoprotein. It is involved in the co-translational targeting of proteins to membranes. The eukaryotic SRP consists of a 300-nucleotide 7S RNA and six proteins: SRPs 72, 68, 54, 19, 14, and 9. The record is from RNAcentral. Lineage: Eukaryota; Metazoa; Chordata; Mammalia; Primates; Cheirogaleidae.